GGCUCUGUAGCUCAGUGGUAGAGCGCCUGUCUCAUGAGCAGGAAGUCGAGAGUUCAAUUCUCUCUAGAGCCA
This 72-nucleotide transfer RNA is filed under the name Nanobdellota archaeon. RNAcentral describes it as "tRNA-Met". It matches the Rfam family "tRNA". From Rfam's summary of the family: Transfer RNA (tRNA) molecules are approximately 80 nucleotides in length. Their secondary structure includes four short double-helical elements and three loops (D, anti-codon, and T loops). Further hydrogen bonds mediate the characteristic L-shaped molecular structure. tRNAs have two regions of fundamental functional importance: the anti-codon, which is responsible for specific mRNA codon recognition, and the 3' end, to which the tRNAs corresponding amino acid is attached (by aminoacyl-tRNA synthetases). tRNAs cope with the degeneracy of the genetic code in two manners: having more than one tRNA (with a specific anti-codon) for a particular amino acid; and 'wobble' base-pairing, i.e. permitting non-standard base-pairing at the 3rd anti-codon position. The record is from RNAcentral. Lineage: Archaea; Nanobdellati; Nanobdellota.